CGGGAGGAGGGAGGUGGUGCCACGAUGAGCACAUCAAGUGUUUUCUCUGAGUUACUCUUCUUCAAGCAAGGCUGAAAAAUGAACUCAAGAUACAAAGAUGCCAUGGGAAGCUCUUAAUCUUACAAAAAAGAGCCUGAGGACAUUCUGAUGCUUCUGCAUGAAGAGAGAAAGCAGUCCACAGUGCCAAGAUAAAGCUGAGGUGUGACACCAAAGGGUCUCUGGACUGGCAGUGCCCGACCCACCGGGAGCUCCUGCAGCCAAGCUUCCACCUCCUCACCAAGCUGCUUGGAUUGAAGCCUGGUCUUAGACAACAGAAAGGAAAAAUCUCCCUAAACUUGAAACAAAACAGCAGAGCCUUUGC
Molecule: long non-coding RNA, 361 nt
Organism: Lepidothrix coronata (blue-crowned manakin)
Lineage: Eukaryota; Metazoa; Chordata; Aves; Passeriformes; Pipridae
Exons: 3
Source: RefSeq, a predicted model, not a curated record